GAUCAUGGCUCAGGACGAACGCUGGCGGCGCGCCUAACACAUGCAAGUCGAGCGAUGAAAUUUUAACCGAUCUCUUCGGAGAGAAGAUAAAAUGGAUUAGCGGCGGACGGGUGAGUAACACGUGAGAAACCUGCCUUUCACAAGGGGAUAGCCUCGGGAAACCGGGAUUAAUACCCUAUAACACAUUUCCUUCGCAUGAAAGAAAUGUUAAAACUCCGGUGGUGAAAUAUGGUCUCGCGUCUGAUUAG
Molecule: ribosomal RNA, 248 nt
Filed under: uncultured bacterium
Lineage: Bacteria
Description: partial 16S ribosomal RNA
Rfam family: Bacterial small subunit ribosomal RNA
Source: RNAcentral